GACGAACGCUGGCGGCGUGCCUAAUACAUGCAAGUCGAACGCAGUGGGGACGGGUGAGUAACACGUGGGUAACCUCCCAUCAGAGGGGAUAACACUUGGAAACAGGUGCUAAACCGAUACUGAUGGAUGGACCCGCGGUGCAUUAGCUAGUGGGUGAGGUAACGGCUCACAAAGGCCACGAUGCAUAGCCGGCCUGAGAGGGUGUUCGGACACACUGGGACUUGGAGCCGGCCCAGACUCCGACGGGAGGCAGCAGUAGGGAAGCUUCGGCAAUGGACGAAAGUCUGACCGAGCAACGCCGCGUGAGUGAAGAAGGUUUUCGGAUCGUAAAACUCUGUUGUUGGAGAAGCGGUAUCUAACCAGAAAGCCACGGCUAACUACGUGCCAGCCGCCGCGGUAAUUC
RNAcentral lists this ribosomal RNA (403 nucleotides) under uncultured bacterium. Its description in RNAcentral is "partial 16S ribosomal RNA". It matches the Rfam family "Bacterial small subunit ribosomal RNA", at positions 28 to 526 of the family's 1533-position model. The record is from RNAcentral.